UACGAAGGGAGCUAGCGUUGUUCGGAAUCACUGGGCGUAAAGCGCACGUAGGCGGAUUUGUCAGUCAGGGGUGAAAUCCCGGGGCUCAACCUCGGAACUGCCUUUGAUACAGCAAGUCUUGAGUUCGGGAGAGGUGGGUGGAAUUCCUAGUGUAGAGGUGAAAUUCGUAGAUAUUAGGAAGAACACCGGUGGCGAAGGCGGCCCACUGGCUCGAUACUGACGCUGAGGUGCGAAAGCGUGGGGAGCAAACAGG
This 253-nucleotide ribosomal RNA is filed under the name uncultured bacterium. RNAcentral describes it as "partial 16S ribosomal RNA". It matches the Rfam family "Bacterial small subunit ribosomal RNA", at positions 524 to 776 of the family's 1533-position model. The record is from RNAcentral.